GAUGAACGCUAGCGACAGGCCUAACACAUGCAAGUCGAGGGGCAGCGGAGAGGUAGCAAUACCUCUGUCGGCGACCGGCGCACGGGUGAGUAACACGUAUGCAAUCCACCUGUAACAGGGGGAUAACCCGGAGAAAUCCGGACUAAUACCCCAUAAUACCACAGCACCGCAUGGUGCAGGGGUAAAAACUCCGGUGGUAUGAGAUGGAUCCGCGUCUGAUUAGCUAGUUGGUAAGGUAACGGCUUACCAAGGCAACGAUCAGUAGCCGACCUGAGAGGGUGACCGGCCACAUUGGGACUGAGACACGGCCCAA
Molecule: ribosomal RNA, 313 nt
Filed under: uncultured bacterium
Lineage: Bacteria
Description: bacterial SSU rRNA
Rfam family: Bacterial small subunit ribosomal RNA
Source: RNAcentral